This 406-nucleotide long non-coding RNA is filed under the name Brachypodium distachyon (stiff brome). RNAcentral describes it as "long non-coding RNA (BDIS_LNC003115)". Lineage: Eukaryota; Viridiplantae; Streptophyta; Magnoliopsida; Poales; Poaceae. The record is from RNAcentral.
CGUUGCUUGCCGCAUCGUUCCCAUCCCAUCCCGCGCCGCCGCCGUUCUCCUCCCAACCCGAGCCUGCAGCGCCAGUAGCCCAUGGGCCGGCUAUGCCUGAACCAGUCCUGUCCAAGGGUCAGCCUAUGGUCGCCGUGGCAUGUUCGAGGAAGAAGUGCGUCGAUGGAGCCGCGGCCGCGGUGUCUAGGAAGUGGAAGAAGAGGUCGCCGCGGAGCAAGGUUGAGCACGUCGACGAGUACCGGGACUGCGGCUCACCGCCGGCGGCCCUCGAGGAAAACGGCCACAAUGUUGGAGAGCGCGCCAUGGAGAUGUUCAGGGCGUCAUGCCGCUCGCCCGCUUCUGCUUGGUGGCCCUGAACAUCUCAAACCAUAAGGCCGUGGCCUCGAAGCGCGCCCGAGGAGAAGGC